This 559-nucleotide ribosomal RNA is filed under the name uncultured bacterium. RNAcentral's name for it is "bacterial SSU rRNA". It matches the Rfam family "Bacterial small subunit ribosomal RNA", at positions 811 to 1368 of the family's 1533-position model. The record is from RNAcentral.
GGGCACUAGGUGUGGGGGACAUUCCACGUUUUCCGCGCCGUAGCUAACGCAUUAAGUGCCCCGCCUGGGGAGUACGGCCGCAAGGCUAAAACUCAAAGGAAUUGACGGGGGCCCGCACAAGCGGCGGAGCAUGCGGAUUAAUUCGAUGCAACGCGAAGAACCUUACCAAGGCUUGACAUGUGCCAGACCGCUCCAGAGAUGGGGUUUCCCUUCGGGGCUGGUUCACAGGUGGUGCAUGGUUGUCGUCAGCUCGUGUCGUGAGAUGUUGGGUUAAGUCCCGCAACGAGCGCAACCCUCGUUCCAUGUUGCCAGCACGUAGUGGUGGGGACUCAUGGGAGACUGCCGGGGUCAACUCGGAGGAAGGUGGGGAUGACGUCAAAUCAUCAUGCCCCUUAUGUCUUGGGCUUCACGCAUGCUACAAUGGCCGGUACAAUGGGUUGCGAUACUGUGAGGUGGAGCUAAUCCCUAAAAGCCGGUCUCAGUUCGGAUUGGGGUCUGCAACUCGACCCCAUGAAGUCGGAGUCGCUAGUAAUCGCAGAUCAGCAACGUGCGGGAAACU